RNAcentral lists this ribosomal RNA (491 nucleotides) under uncultured bacterium. Its description in RNAcentral is "partial 16S ribosomal RNA". It matches the Rfam family "Bacterial small subunit ribosomal RNA", at positions 29 to 507 of the family's 1533-position model. The record is from RNAcentral.
GUGAACGCUGGCGGUAGGCCUAACCCCUGCAAGUCGCACGGCAGCACAGUAAGAGCUUGCUCUUACGGGUGGCGAGUGGCGGACGGGUGAGGAAUACAUCGGAAUCUACUUUUUCGUGGGGGAUAACGUAGGGAAACUUACGCUAAUACCGCAUACGACCUACGGGUGAAAGCAGGGGAUCUUCGGACCUUGGGCGAUUGAAUGAGCCGAUGUCGGAUUAGCUAGUUGGCGGGGUAAAGGCCCACCAAGGCGACGAUCCGUAGCUGGUCUGAGAGGAUGAUCAGCCACACUGGAACUGAGACACGGUCCAGACUCCUACGGGAGGCAGCAGUGGGGAAUAUUGGACAAUGGGCGCAAGCCUGAUCCAGCCAUACCGCGUGGGUGAAGAAGGCCUUCGGGUUGUAAAGCCCUUUUGUUGGGAAAGAAAAGCAGCAGGUUAAUACCCCGCUGUUCUGACGGUACCCAAAGAAUAAGCACCGGCUAACUUCGUG